GUGCUUGCUUUGGCAGCACAUAUACUAAAAUUGGAACGAUACAGAGAAGAUUAGCAUGGCCCCCGAGCAAGGAUGAUGCGCAAAUUCGUGAAGUGUUCCAUAUUUUU
This 107-nucleotide small nuclear RNA is filed under the name Cervus hanglu yarkandensis (Yarkand deer). The record is from RNAcentral. Lineage: Eukaryota; Metazoa; Chordata; Mammalia; Artiodactyla; Cervidae.